This 496-nucleotide ribosomal RNA is filed under the name uncultured bacterium. RNAcentral's name for it is "partial 16S ribosomal RNA". It matches the Rfam family "Bacterial small subunit ribosomal RNA", at positions 29 to 507 of the family's 1533-position model. The record is from RNAcentral.
AUGCACGCUGGCGGCGUGCCUCAUACAUGCAAGUCGAGCGAACAGACGAGGAGCUUGCUCCUCUGGCGUUAGCGGCGGACGGGUGAGUAACACGUGGAUAACCUACCUAUAAGACUGGGAUAACUUCGGGAAACCGGAGCUAAUACCGGAUAAUAUAUUGAACCGCAUGGUUCAAUAGUGAAAGACGGUUUUGCUGUCACUUAUAGAUGGAUCCGCGCCGCAUUAGCUAGUUGGUAAGGUAACGGCUUACCAAGGCAACGAUGCGUAGCCGACCUGAGAGGGUGAUCGGCCACACUGGAACUGAGACACGGUCCAGACUCCUACGGGAGGCAGCAGUAGGGAAUCUUCCGCAAUGGGCGAAAGCCUGACGGAGCAACGCCGCGUGAGUGAUGAAGGUCUUCGGAUCGUAAAACUCUGUUAUUAGGGAAGAACAAAUGUGUAAGUAACUAUGCACGUCUUGACGGUACCUAAUCAGAAAGCCACGGCUAACUACGUG